AGGCGGCUGACAGGGCUAUGUACCUGGCGAAACGUCAGGGUAAGAACAUAGUGGUGUGUAUGGAGGCGUAAGACCCGCCUGCCGCUGAC
This 89-nucleotide transfer RNA is filed under the name Neomoorella thermoacetica. RNAcentral describes it as "Moorella thermoacetica tRNA-Phe". The record is from RNAcentral. Lineage: Bacteria; Bacillati; Bacillota; Clostridia; Neomoorellales; Neomoorellaceae.